AUUCCUACGGGAGGCAGCAGUAGGGAAUUUUCGUCAAUGGGCGCAAGCCUGAACGAGCAAUGCCGCGUGAACGAGGAAUGUCUUCGGUUCGUAAAGUUCUGUUGAAGGGGAAAAAGAGCGGAGAGAGGACAUGGUCUCCGAUUGAUAUUACCCUUCGCGGAAGUCACGUCUAACUACGUGCCCACAGCCGCGGUAAUACUUAGGUGGCGAGCGUUAUCCGGUAUGAUUAAGCGUA
This 235-nucleotide ribosomal RNA is filed under the name uncultured bacterium. Its description in RNAcentral is "partial 16S ribosomal RNA". It matches the Rfam family "Bacterial small subunit ribosomal RNA", at positions 335 to 562 of the family's 1533-position model. The record is from RNAcentral.